RNAcentral lists this ribosomal RNA (497 nucleotides) under uncultured bacterium. Its description in RNAcentral is "partial 16S ribosomal RNA". It matches the Rfam family "Bacterial small subunit ribosomal RNA", at positions 28 to 507 of the family's 1533-position model. The record is from RNAcentral.
GAUGAACGCUGGCGGCGUGCCUAAUACAUGCAAGUCGAGCGAACGGACGAGAAGCUUGCUUCUCUGAUGUUAGCGGCGGACGGGUGAGUAACACGUGGAUAACCUACCUAUAAGACUGGGAUAACUUCGGGAAACCGGAGCUAAUACCGGAUAAUAUUUUGAACCGCAUGGUUCAAAAGUGAAAGACGGUCUUGCUGUCACUUAUAGAUGGAUCCGCGCUGCAUUAGCUAGUUGGCAAGGUAACGGCUUACCAAGGCAACGAUGCAUAGCCGACCUGAGAGGGUGAUCGGCCACACUGGAACUGAGACACGGUCCAGACUCCUACGGGAGGCAGCAGUAGGGAAUCUUCCGCAAUGGGCGAAAGCCUAACGGAGCAACGCCGCGUGAGUGAUGAAGGUCUUCGGAUCGUAAAACUCUGUUAUUAGGGAAGAACAUAUGUGUAAGUAACUGUGCACAUCUUGACGGUACCUAAUCAGAAAGUCACGGCUAACUACGUG